Molecule: small RNA, 176 nt
Filed under: Ruminiclostridium hungatei
Lineage: Bacteria; Bacillati; Bacillota; Clostridia; Eubacteriales; Oscillospiraceae
Description: Clostridium hungatei Magnesium sequence
Rfam family: M-box riboswitch aptamer (ykoK leader)
About the family: M-box riboswitch, also know as ykoK leader is described as a metaloregulatory RNA that sense divalent metals and function as a genetic control element of genes related to divalent metal transport in bacteria. It was first reported upstream of the B.subtilis ykoK gene and genes with related functions in other bacteria.
Source: Rfam by way of RNAcentral
AGAAUAUUUCGUUAGGUGAGGUUCCUAUACAGAUAUAUGCUGCUGCCCGGAAACAUCGAGAGAUGCCAAUGGGUCAACAGGUACUACCGAAAUAAGGUUUUACUUAAUGUAGCUGGAGAAGAUAUUGUAGUAUUCCAAAGCUGUAUAGUGCUAAAACUCAACGAGUGAAGGUAUUU